CCUACGGGGGGCAGCAGUGAGGAAUAUUGGUCAAUGGGCGAGAGCCUGAACCAGCCAAGUCGCGUGAGGGCAGACGGUCCUAUGGAUUGUAAACCUCUUUUGCCGGGGAGCAAAAAGCGGUACGUGUACCGCAUCGAGAGUACCCGGAGAAAAAGCAUCGGCUAACUCCGUGCCAGCAGCCGCGGUAAUACGGAGGAUGCGAGCGUUAUCCGGAUUUAUUGGGGUUAAAGGGUGCGCAGGCGGCGAGUUAAGUCAGAGGUAAAAUUUCGGGGCUCAACCCCGACAAGCCGUUGAAACUGGGUGGCUAGAGUGGGCGAGAAGUAUGCGGAAUGCGUGGUGUAGCGGUGAAAUGCAUAGAUAUCACGCAGAACUCCGAUUGCGAAGGCAGCAUACCGGCGCCCAACUGACGCUCAGGCACGAAAGCGUGGGUAUCGAACAGGAUUAGAUACCCUAGUAGUC
This 459-nucleotide ribosomal RNA is filed under the name uncultured bacterium. Its description in RNAcentral is "partial 16S ribosomal RNA". It matches the Rfam family "Bacterial small subunit ribosomal RNA", at positions 338 to 795 of the family's 1533-position model. The record is from RNAcentral.